RNAcentral lists this ribosomal RNA (468 nucleotides) under uncultured bacterium. RNAcentral's name for it is "partial 16S ribosomal RNA". It matches the Rfam family "Bacterial small subunit ribosomal RNA", at positions 28 to 507 of the family's 1533-position model. The record is from RNAcentral.
GACGAACGCUGGCGGCGUGCUUAACACAUGCAAGUCGAACGGAAAGGCCCUGCUUUUGUGGGGUGCUCGAGUGGCGAACGGGUGAGUAACACGUGAGUAACCUGCCCUUGACUUUGGGAUAACUUCAGGAAACUGGGGCUAAUACCGGAUAGGAGCUCCUGCUGCAUGGUGGGGGUUGGAAAGUUUCGGCGGUUGGGGAUGGACUCGCGGCUUAUCAGCUUGUUGGUGGGGUAGUGGCUUACCAAGGCUUUGACGGGUAGCCGGCCUGAGAGGGUGACCGGCCACAUUGGGACUGAGAUACGGCACAGACUCCUCCGGGACGCAGCAGUGGGGAAGAUUGCACAAUGGGCGGAAGCCUGAUGCAGCAACGCCGCGUGCGGGAUGACGGCCUUCGGGUUGUAAACCGCUUUCGCCUGUGACGAAGCGUGAGUGACGGUAAUGGGUAAAGAAGCCCCGGCUAACUACGUG